Molecule: microRNA, 21 nt
Filed under: Sorghum bicolor (sorghum)
Lineage: Eukaryota; Viridiplantae; Streptophyta; Magnoliopsida; Poales; Poaceae
Description: sbi-miR6223-3p
Source: miRBase by way of RNAcentral
CUAGCAUGUUCCUCCUAAGAG